This 404-nucleotide ribosomal RNA is filed under the name Actinomycetes bacterium. Its description in RNAcentral is "Actinobacteria bacterium partial 16S ribosomal RNA". It matches the Rfam family "Bacterial small subunit ribosomal RNA", at positions 355 to 776 of the family's 1533-position model. The record is from RNAcentral. Lineage: Bacteria; Bacillati; Actinomycetota; Actinomycetes.
UGGGGAAUAUUGGACAAUGGGCGCAAGCCUGCUCCAGCCAUGCCGCGUGAGUGAUGAAGGCCCUAGGGUUGUAAAGCUCUUUCACCGGUGAAGAUAAUGACGGUAACCGGAGAAGAAGCCCCGGCUAACUUCGUGCCAGCAGCCGCGGUAAUACGAAGGGGGCUAGCGUUGUUCGGAUUUACUGGGCGUAAAGCGCACGUAGGCGGACUUUUAAGUCAGGGGUGAAAUCCCGGGGCUCAACCCCGGAACUGCCUUUGAUACUGGAAGUCUUGAGUAUGGUAGAGGAGAGUGGAAUUCCGAGUGUAGAGGUGAAAUUCGUAGAUAUUCGGAGGAACACCAGUGGCGAAGGCGGCUCACUGGACCAUUACUGACGCUGAGGUGCGAAAGCGGGGGGAGCAAACAGG